Molecule: ribosomal RNA, 2925 nt
Filed under: Enterobacter roggenkampii
Lineage: Bacteria; Pseudomonadati; Pseudomonadota; Gammaproteobacteria; Enterobacterales; Enterobacteriaceae
Description: bacterial LSU rRNA
Rfam family: Bacterial large subunit ribosomal RNA
Source: RNAcentral
GGGUUGUGAGGUUAAGCGACUAAGCGUACACGGUGGAUGCCCUGGCAGUCAGAGGCGAUGAAGGACGUGCUAAUCUGCGAAAAGCGCCGGCGAGGUGAUAUGAACCUUUGACCCGGCGAUGUCCGAAUGGGGAAACCCAGUGUGAUUCGUCACACUAUCGUUAACUGAAUACAUAGGUUAACGAGGCGAACCGGGGGAACUGAAACAUCUAAGUACCCCGAGGAAAAGAAAUCAACCGAGAUUCCCCCAGUAGCGGCGAGCGAACGGGGAGCAGCCCAGAGUCUGAAUCAGCUUGUGUGUUAGUGGAAGCGUCUGGAAAGUCGCACGGUACAGGGUGACAGUCCCGUACACGAAAGCACACAGGUUGUGAACUCGAAGAGUAGGGCGGGACACGUGGUAUCCUGUCUGAAUAUGGGGGGACCAUCCUCCAAGGCUAAAUACUCCUGACUGACCGAUAGUGAACCAGUACCGUGAGGGAAAGGCGAAAAGAACCCCGGCGAGGGGAGUGAAAAAGAACCUGAAACCGUGUACGUACAAGCAGUGGGAGCACCUUCGGGUGUGACUGCGUACCUUUUGUAUAAUGGGUCAGCGACUUAUAUUCUGUAGCAAGGUUAACCGUAUAGGGGAGCCGAAGGGAAACCGAGUCUUAACUGGGCGUUAAGUUGCAGGGUAUAGACCCGAAACCCGGUGAUCUAGCCAUGGGCAGGUUGAAGGUUGGGUAACACUAACUGGAGGACCGAACCGACUAAUGUUGAAAAAUUAGCGGAUGACUUGUGGCUGGGGGUGAAAGGCCAAUCAAACCGGGAGAUAGCUGGUUCUCCCCGAAAGCUAUUUAGGUAGCGCCUCGUGAACUCAUCUUCGGGGGUAGAGCACUGUUUCGGCUAGGGGGCCAUCCCGGCUUACCAACCCGAUGCAAACUACGAAUACCGAAGAAUGUUAUCACGGGAGACACACGGCGGGUGCUAACGUCCGUCGUGAAGAGGGAAACAACCCAGACCGCCAGCUAAGGUCCCAAAGUCAUGGUUAAGUGGGAAACGAUGUGGGAAGGCACAGACAGCCAGGAUGUUGGCUUAGAAGCAGCCAUCAUUUAAAGAAAGCGUAAUAGCUCACUGGUCGAGUCGGCCUGCGCGGAAGAUGUAACGGGGCUAAACCAUGCACCGAAGCUGCGGCAGCGACGCUUAUGCGUUGUUGGGUAGGGGAGCGUUCUGUAAGCCGUUGAAGGUGGCCUGUGAGGGUUGCUGGAGGUAUCAGAAGUGCGAAUGCUGACAUAAGUAACGAUAAAGCGGGUGAAAAGCCCGCUCGCCGGAAGACCAAGGGUUCCUGUCCAACGUUAAUCGGGGCAGGGUGAGUCGACCCCUAAGGCGAGGCCGAAAGGCGUAGUCGAUGGGAAACAGGUUAAUAUUCCUGUACUUGGUGUUACUGCGAAGGGGGGACGGAGAAGGCUAUGUUAGCCGGGCGACGGUUGUCCCGGUUUAAGCAUGUAGGCGGAGGUUCCAGGUAAAUCCAGUACCUUUUAACGCUGAGGUGUGAUGACGAGGCACUACGGUGCUGAAGUAACAAAUGCCCUGCUUCCAGGAAAAGCCUCUAAGCAUCAGGUAACAUCAAAUCGUACCCCAAACCGACACAGGUGGUCAGGUAGAGAAUACCAAGGCGCUUGAGAGAACUCGGGUGAAGGAACUAGGCAAAAUGGUGCCGUAACUUCGGGAGAAGGCACGCUGAUAUGUAGGUGAAGCCCCUGCGGGUGGAGCUGAAAUCAGUCGAAGAUACCAGCUGGCUGCAACUGUUUAUUAAAAACACAGCACUGUGCAAACACGAAAGUGGACGUAUACGGUGUGACGCCUGCCCGGUGCCGGAAGGUUAAUUGAUGGGGUUAGCGGCAACGCGAAGCUCUUGAUCGAAGCCCCGGUAAACGGCGGCCGUAACUAUAACGGUCCUAAGGUAGCGAAAUUCCUUGUCGGGUAAGUUCCGACCUGCACGAAUGGCGUAAUGAUGGCCAGGCUGUCUCCACCCGAGACUCAGUGAAAUUGAACUCGCUGUGAAGAUGCAGUGUACCCGCGGCAAGACGGAAAGACCCCGUGAACCUUUACUAUAGCUUGACACUGAACACUGGUCCUUGAUGUGUAGGAUAGGUGGGAGGCUUUGAAGUGUGGACGCCAGUCUGCAUGGAGCCGUCCUUGAAAUACCACCCUUUAAUGGCUGGUGUUCUAACGUAGACCCGUAAUCCGGGUUGCGGACAGUGUCUGGUGGGUAGUUUGACUGGGGCGGUCUCCUCCCAAAGAGUAACGGAGGAGCACGAAGGUUAGCUAAUCCUGGUCGGACAUCAGGAGGUUAGUGCAAUGGCAUAAGCUAGCUUGACUGCGAGAGUGACGGCUCGAGCAGGUGCGAAAGCAGGUCAUAGUGAUCCGGUGGUUCUGAAUGGAAGGGCCAUCGCUCAACGGAUAAAAGGUACUCCGGGGAUAACAGGCUGAUACCGCCCAAGAGUUCAUAUCGACGGCGGUGUUUGGCACCUCGAUGUCGGCUCAUCACAUCCUGGGGCUGAAGUAGGUCCCAAGGGUAUGGCUGUUCGCCAUUUAAAGUGGUACGCGAGCUGGGUUUAGAACGUCGUGAGACAGUUCGGUCCCUAUCUGCCGUGGGCGCUGGAGAAUUGAGGGGGGCUGCUCCUAGUACGAGAGGACCGGAGUGGACGCAUCACUGGUGUUCGGGUUGUCAUGCCAAUGGCACUGCCCGGUAGCUAAAUGCGGAAAAGAUAAGUGCUGAAAGCAUCUAAGCACGAAACUUGCCCCGAGAUGAGUUCUCCCUGAGACUUUAAGUCUCCUGAAGGAACGUUGAAGACGACGACGUUGAUAGGUCGGGUGUGUAAGCGCAGCGAUGCGUUGAGCUAACCGAUACUAAUGAACCGUGAGGCUUAACCUUACAACGCCGAAG